Molecule: long non-coding RNA, 1541 nt
Filed under: Homo sapiens (human)
Lineage: Eukaryota; Metazoa; Chordata; Mammalia; Primates; Hominidae
Description: HSALNT0315686
Source: RNAcentral
ACCCACGCGCGGCCCUCCUGCACCUCGGCCAGCACUCGUAGCGCGCUGGGCGAGCCGGACCGGAAGUUGAAGAAGUGAAGCGCCGCGCGCGCCGCCUGCUGCAGGAGCCUGCGCGGGACCCCAGCAUCCUGAGGCUGCCCAGGGUCGUCGGGGUCCCCGGACCCCGCGGGCGCCGCCACCGGGGCGAGCAACAGCAGCAGCGCGAGCAGCGGGGCGGUGGGGCGCGGGCCCCUGGGCCCGGACCAGGGAGCAGGCAGCCGUUGCCGGCGGGGCUGCAUGGACGCAGGAAAGUUGGCUCGGCACCCGACAGACACGGGCUCGGAGCGGGCAGUGCCGGCGCUCGCGGAAAUAAGGCCGUGGUGGGCCCCUCCCCUCCGCCCCCAGGGCGAAGAUAAUUGUGAAACACCUGUGCCAGGCCCUGGGGGAAUGAGGGUGAACAAUCUUAAACAUCUCUGCCUUCCUGGAGCACACCUUCUAGGUUGCACAGUGGCUCAGAGAGUAGACUUGGAGCCAGGCUGCCCGGUUUUAUAGCCCUGCUUGACCUGUGUGAUCCGAGAAUAAUCUUGUUUAAUCUCCACAAGUUUGAGGACUAAACUGGGUGCCACAGAGAAUUAAGUAACUGGUCGAGGUUGUAUCAGUAAGAAGGGAGCACGGAACAGAUUCAAGCUCAGGGAGCCUGGUUGGACUUCAGGCCCCUGUGAGGCUGACUCUGUAGUCCUGGAGAAACUCAACAGCCAGGAACUUAGGACCAUUUGUGUGUGGCAUUUGGGCUAACCAGACUGGUGGCUUCUAAAGAAGAUGGAAAGCAUCACGUUUCCUGUAUUUAAAUUAUUUGGUGAUCUCAAUACUGGUUGUUAGCCAAAGUACACAAUGGAGACAGCCUAUUUGCUCUACUACUUUUGAUGUAGAAAUAUUACUAAGCUUGAGCUGAUUAAUAGAACUGUUACACAUUUCUGUGCUCCCCUUACUGGUGGCAUGAAAUAAUUCUUUUAAAACCUGCCAUGUGUUCACAUUUAAAACUAAAAGUAAUUUAGAUUACAUGGAUUUGAGAAGCCCAUGUUGACACGUAAUUGCCAACAGAUGGGCUUUCAAAUGUAAUGAAGUGAAAAUGGUCAGUACCCCAUGUGUUGGAUUUUGCAAUUUUCCAAAGUAAGCUGUCAUUUUUGGCAUGUCAUGCUAGUUAAGAACACAAUGUAUUUAUAGCUCAAUUAUACAUUUUCUGAUGAAUUUGGCAUGGCAUUUUGUUUUUCCAUCAGUCACUUAAGACAGGACAUUUGCCAUUCCAAGAAUGAAUUAACACUCUUCUAAGUGAUCUAUAAACUGAGAUGUAAAAUAAAUUACAAAUUGGGACUGUUUUAGUUUUUCAAGCAAAGGGUGUUUAAAUAAAGCUUGAAAUCAUAAACCUUAUUUCCUGUUUGAGAAGAUGGUGUAUUCAUUACAGAGUGAAAUAAAGGAUUUUAAUGUUUUUUUUUUUUUCCGGCAAUAAUAGUUAGAAUCUUACGUUCUUCAAAGAAAAUUUCAAAGAAAAUUCAUAACACUUG